GGCACUGCUGAGAAGCACCUGAGGUUCCUUCAGACAGCUGGCGGGCCUUACACUCUUGGCCCCGUAGGCCAGGACAGACAGACAGGUGGGCCCAGAAAGGACCUGGAGCCAUUGACUCAAGUCCGAGUGGCUGCAAGCCGCUGCUGGACAGAACCAGAGAGAAUGGGAAACAUGCCACCAACUUUUAUAGUUACAUGUCAGGUGCAGGGACACGUCCUGAGCAAUGUCCUGUUAGGUGAUUUUGUCACUGUACCAACCUAGAGUGUGCUUACACAAGCCUACGACAGCCACAGGUCACUGGGCAGUAUUACCUUGUGGGUCCACUGUUGUGUUACGUGGUCCAUCAUCGGCCCAAACGUCCUUGUGGCGUGGGACAGCGUUUACACGGCUGCUUUCCAGACUGAGGUGCCCCCUUUGGCCCUUGGUCCUCCUCUGACCGUCUUAAUGGCCCCAAGUUGGCGUUACAGGGGAGCUCUUAGGAAGAGGGGUAUGUCUGUCCAGAAGCUGGCAGGGCCAUGACGGUUUUGUCUCUGUUUGCGACAGAGGCUGAGUGGCUGUCAUCCUUUUCCCACCAGCCCCCUUCGCCAGAGUUGGGGGACAGCCAGGAGUUUUGUGGUUAAAUAAUUUUUUGACCUUCAGCUAUAGGACAUCGGUGCCGUGUUAAGUACUUCAGAAGACCUGGGAGAUAAGAAAUCUGACCUCCUUUUCUAGAUGAAACCCAGACUGAGCGAAGAGCUAAGGAAAAUAUAGAAGCUUGACUACAAGAGGCCUAGGCUGGGUCUAGCAGCCCGUAACAAAUGCUUUUGGUUUUCUUUAUAACAAGGGAAAUUCCUUCACCUCAGGCUCGGAGGAAGUUGAGAGGUCUAGCAUGACUUAACACACGUUUUAAGAGUGAAUUAUCUUUGGGGGUAACUUAGGGACAAACAUCCCUGGAGGCUGCCCCGUCCUCCUCUGCCCCCUUCCCCAGCCUGCCCCUCGUCCUCCCACAUCCUCCCCUUCUCCCUCCACCCAGUGGGGGCCCCGAUGAGCGGCAGUGUGUGGAGAGCAGGAGACUGAUACGGACACACCUCUGCUCUCUUUCUUCUUUCUUUCCUUUUGCAGUGCUGGGGAUCGAGCCCAGGCUCUAAUGCCAUUGAGCCACACCCCCCAGGCCUUCUCUAUUUUUUAGGACCUUCCUGAGGAGGCCAGUCCACCUCGUUUGCUUUAGGAUGAAGGCUUUUGGGUUGCUGUCGAGACUAUAAUGGUGAUUUUAGCCCGUGGCUUAUUGCACACAACUUAUUAUAUUUAAGGCAUGGGGGGGUCUCCUGUGAGCAAGGUUCCUAUCACCCACUGUGGUGGCUGUGCAUGCUUCACUGACCUAUGGGGACAGAGUCACUGGCUGCUCUGUUCCCUAGAAGAACGGACAAGCUGCCAGGUGCACACCUAUAAUCCCAGUGGUUUGGGAAGCCGAGGCAGGCGGAUUGAGAGUUCAAAGCCAGCCUCGGCAACUUAGUGAGGCCCUGACCAACUCAGCAAGACCUGUCUCUAAAUAAAAUGCAGAAAAGGGCUGAGGGUGUGGCUCAGUGGUUGAGUGUCCCCGAUUCAGUCCCUGGUACCAAAAAAAAAGAAGGGACAGGCCAAGCCUCCAAACGGACAGAAAUUCCUGGCCUACCCUCCAAGUCCGCUCCGUGGGGUGGGACACGCGGGAGGGAGGUGUCUUUGGGAAGAGCAGAGAGGUGGCCCGGCUUGGCUUCUCAUGUCUGACUGCCUUCCGCCAAGGUUUAAGUUCCAGGUUGUCAUCAGUGGCCGCGAGUUCCCCCCGGCGGAAGCUGGCAGCAAGAAGGUGGCCAAGCAGGAUGCAGCUCUGAAAGCCAUGACGAUCCUACUGCGGGAGGCCAAAGCCAAGGACAGUGGGAAGCCAGAGGACUUGUCCUGCUGUUCCCCAGAAAAAGAGCCAGAGGAGGUAGGGACCUGCCCAAGGUGGGUCUCGUCUCUCAGGUCUCAAGGGGUAGCAUCUUAACUGGCCCCUGGAAGCGAUCCUGGUCUAAAAGCCCUGGUCUCUAGUCCCAAGACAGCUUCCCGCCUCCUCUGCCCACCUCCAACCCGCUUUCCUCUCCUUCCCAGCCCCCCUCCUGCCCCCUUGAGCCUAGCUGGAGGUGCAGAACGUCAAGCCUGGAAGAGGCUGAAGCAGUACGGUGCUCCGUCUCCACUUUGGGCAGAUAGCUUACUCUCUCCUGCCAUGCCCGGGAAGGCCACCCUUAACACUGACGGAUCCGAGAGUCCCCGUCCGUCCCUUCUGCGGAGGCGGAGCAGCCGGCCUGGUCUCAGUUCCUCGUGCUUUAUUCUGUCUUCUCGUCUCACUUUCUCCAGACAGCGGAGCCCCAGCCCACCGCCACCUCAACGUCGUCCCUGUUUUCUGGGAAGAGCCCCGUCACUACCUUGCUGGAGUGUAUGCACAAACUGGGCAACUCCUGUGAAUUCCGGCUCCUGUCCAAAGAAGGCCCUGCCCAUGACCCCAAGUACGUCCGGGGAGGGACGGUGUCUCCAAGAGGCUUUCUCAGAGACAGGCUCGUCUUCCUCUUCAGAGACGGCAGCUUAUUGUCUCUGAGCAGUUUCUUCUGCUGCAUGUGGAAGGGCCUUCAGGACCUGGUUGCUGCUUGGAAAGCAGAGAAGCUGGAAUCGGGAGUCCAGAGGGACCAAGGGCAAGGAGGGGUUGGUAGCGUGGGGGUCACUGUUGGUGGGACAGAAAGGUCCAGGGCCUUGGUGGGCCUGAGCAGCUCUCUGAGGGUCUGUGGACUCACAUAUCCGAGAGAAGGGCUCUGGAGGAGGGGAAAGUUUUGCAUGUUGAAAGUGGGGAGCCAGGCUGAGAGACCCGGGCAGCAGGUGGGCGAGGGGCAGCGGCUAUGCAAGGCAGAAGUGACUAUAGAAGGUGAUGUGCACAAGAAGUCGCAUGUAGUAGAGAACGUUAGCAAGUUGGGCCGGUCUCUGCAAUCACAACCUUCCUCCCUCUGGUCAGGUUCCAGUACUGUGUGGCGGUGGGAGCCCAAACCUUCCCUACCGUGAGUGCUCCCAGCAAGAAAGUGGCAAAGCAGAUGGCCGCAGAGGAGGCCAUGAAGGCCCUGCACGAGGAGGCCACCAACUCGGUUGAUGACCAGGUGGGCGUUUCUCCUGCUGAAACACCGUGGGGCGAUCUAGCAACGGAGCAGGUCAGGGUGGCCCACGUUUCUUUGAAUGUUCAUGGCUCCUUUUUGUUUGGCUGAUUCUCCUUUAGUCUGGAGGUGCCAACUCAGAAUCACUUGACAACCUGGACUCUGGGAUGCCCAACAGGAUCAGGAGGAUCGGUGAGCUCGUCAGAUACCUGAACACCAACCCCGUGGGCGGCUUGUUAGAGUACGCCCGCUCCCAUGGCUUUGCUGCUGAGUUCAAGUUGGUGGACCAGUCUGGACCCCCUCAUGAGCCCAAGUGAGUGUUCCAGACCCAGCUCCUGCUGGGUGUCAUCAGGUAGGGGUGGUGUGUCGUCCAGGGAAAGAAAGGAUGUGCGCCGCUGUGAAGGACAGGGAAGGCAGGUGAUGAAACAA
This 3557-nucleotide long non-coding RNA is filed under the name Marmota monax (woodchuck). The record is from RNAcentral. Lineage: Eukaryota; Metazoa; Chordata; Mammalia; Rodentia; Sciuridae.